This 485-nucleotide long non-coding RNA is filed under the name Homo sapiens (human). RNAcentral describes it as "non-protein coding lnc-PFKP-16:18". Lineage: Eukaryota; Metazoa; Chordata; Mammalia; Primates; Hominidae. The record is from RNAcentral.
AGAGAAGAAGACAUUCAGGGAGACACCAAGCCAGGGAGGUGACAAGUAUGUGGUAAAAUCCGAGCACGCAGAAUUUGGGGGAACAGGACUCUAGACUGCCUCUAGAGAGAGCUGUAUUGAAGGCCCUGCGACCCAGCACAGAGAAGGGAAUGGUGCUCUAGGUCCCUGCCUCUGCAGAAGACAAAUCCAGGAAGAGAACCAGGAAACUGCAGAGUAGCCAGCCACAUGCGAGAAAAAUCUGAAGGAGACGAAAAUGUUUCAGGAGAAAGGGCUUUUCAACUGGUGCAUAAUUUAGGUUAAAGUUUCUGAGCAGCUCUGGACUGCAAAAGGGCCUCCCUUCACUGAGCAGAUGUAUAUGACCCCGUGCUUCUCCGAUUCAUACCAAACUUCAGAGAAACUCCGGGAAAGGUUCCUUCUGUAUUUAUGGAUGAGAAUUAUGUGAAGCCUCUACAACCAUCGUAGUUCAUAUCUCCAGAGAGGUAAAG